Molecule: ribosomal RNA, 479 nt
Filed under: Bacteroidetes bacterium oral taxon 274
Lineage: Bacteria; Pseudomonadati; Bacteroidota
Description: bacterial SSU rRNA
Rfam family: Bacterial small subunit ribosomal RNA
Source: RNAcentral
GAUGAACGCUAGCGAUAGGCUUAACACAUGCAAGUCGAGGGGCAUCACGAAUUAGCAAUAGUUUGGUGGCGACCGGCGCACGGGUGCGUAACACGUAUACAACCUACCUUCAAUUGGGGAAUAACCUGGAGAAAUUUGGACUAAUACCCCAUAGUAAACGGAAGAGGCAUCUUUUUUGUUUUAAAGAUUAUGAUUGGAGAUGGGUAUGCGUAGGAUUAGCUAGUUGGUAAGGUAACGGCUUACCAAGGCGACGAUCCUUAGGGGUUCUGAGAGGAAGGUCCCCCACACUGGUACUGAGACACGGACCAGACUCCUACGGGAGGCAGCAGUGAGGAAUAUUGGUCAAUGGUCGAGAGACUGAACCAGCCAAGUCGCGUGAAGGAAGACGGCUCUAUGAGUUGUAAACUUCUUUUGUACAGGAGUAAAGUGAGACACGUGUGUUUUAUUGCAAGUACUGUACGAAUAGCAUCGGCUAACUC